UACGGGGGGUGCAAGCGUUGUUCGGAUUUACUGGGCGUAAAGGGCGCGUAGGCGGCACUGCAAGUCAGUUGUGAAAUCUCCGGGCUUAACCCGGAAAGGUCAACUGAUACUGCAGGGCUAGAGUGCAGAAGGGGCAACUGGAAUUCUCGGUGUAGCGGUGAAAUGCGUAGAUAUCGAGAGGAACACCUGCGGCGAAGGCGGGUUGCUGGGCUGACACUGACGCUGAGGCGCGAAAGCCAGGGGAGCAAACGGG
This 253-nucleotide ribosomal RNA is filed under the name uncultured bacterium. RNAcentral's name for it is "partial 16S ribosomal RNA". It matches the Rfam family "Bacterial small subunit ribosomal RNA", at positions 524 to 776 of the family's 1533-position model. The record is from RNAcentral.